This 1456-nucleotide long non-coding RNA is filed under the name Cyanistes caeruleus (blue tit). RNAcentral's name for it is "lncRNA (ENSCCEG00000018668.1)". The record is from RNAcentral. Lineage: Eukaryota; Metazoa; Chordata; Aves; Passeriformes; Paridae.
CAUUUUGGGGCAGUUUGGGGGAGUUUUGAGAACCUUUGGGACAAUUUUGGGGCAGUUUGGGAUAGUUUGGGGGAGUUUGGGGGAAAUUUGGGGAAACUUUGAGUCAAUUCGGGGCAGUUUUGGGCGAGUUUGGGGCAGUUUUGUGGUGGUUUGAGGGAGUUUGGGGCAGUUUUGUGUCACUUUGGGGGAGUUUUGGAAAACUUUGGGGCAGUUUGAGGAUCUGAAGCCCCCCCCUCAAUUAAUUCUCUCUCCACAGUGCCCCAGUGAUGGCAACACAGAAUGGCCAGCACAAUCCUGCACAGCCAGAAACCCGUGAUGGCGAGAAAAAAGAGGCCGCCCAGUACCCCUCGAACCCCCAGAAAAAUAAAUUAUCUGAGCAAUCCCACAGAGUCUGCAACUCAUUUUGGGGAGGGGGCACCCGAGGAAUUGAGGAGGGCAUCUCCUACCUUUUUACCGCUUGUUUUCUUCCCUGUUCCUUCCGUGUUUCUUGGCUCUUUUUCCACUCGUAGUUCUUGCUCUUUUCUCCCCUCACGCUUCCCGCCCUUUUUGUCCCCUCACGCUUCCCGCCCUUUUUGUCCCCUCACGCUUCCCGCUCUUUUUUCUCCUCACAAUUCCUGCUUUUUUUCCCCUCACAAUUUUGCUCUUUUUCCCCUCACAAUUCCUGCUUUUUUUCCCCUCACAAUUUUGUUCUUUUUCUCCUCACAAUUUUGCUCUAUUCCCCUCACAAUUUUGCUCUUUCUCCCCUCACAAUUUUGCUCUUUCUCCCCUCACAAUUUUACUCUUUUUCCCCUCACAAUUCCUGCUUUUUUUCCCCCUCACAAUUUUACUCUUUUCCCCCUCACAAUUCCUGCUUUUUUUCCCCUCACAAUUUUGCUCUUUUUCCCCUCACAAUUUUGCUCUUUCUCCCCUCACAAUUUUGCUCUUUUUCCCCUCACAAUUUUGCUUUUUCCCCUCACAAUUUUGCUUUUUCUCCCCUCACAAUUUUGCUCUAUUCCCCUCACAAUUUUGCUCUUUUUCCCCUCACAAUUUUGCUCUUUCUCCCCUCACAAUUUUGCUCUUUUCCCCCUCACAAUUUUACUCUUUUUCCCCUCACAAUUCCUGCUCUUUUUCCCCUCACAAUUUUGCUCUUUUUCCCCUCACAAUUUUGCUCUUUUCCCCCUCACAAUUUUGCUCUUUUCCCCUCACAAUUUUACUCUUUUCCCCUCACAAUUUUACUCUUUUUCCCCUCACAAUUCCUGCUUUUUUUCCCCUCACAAUUUUGCUCUUUCUCCCCUCACAAUUUUGCUCUUUUCCCCUCACAAUUUUACUCUUUUUCCCCUCACAAUUUUGCUCUUUUUCCCCUCACCUUCCUCUCCCUUUCCCCCUCAUUUUCCCUUCGUGUUCCCCCCUCACAUUUCUCCGUCGCACCCCAAAACAAGCUCCGUAAAUUCAACGCGUUUAAUUCUCCAGGUCAGGG